CAGUAGCCGCGGUAAUACGUAGGGUGCAAGCGUUAAUCGGAAUUACUGGGCGUAAAGCGUGCGCAGGCGGUUAUAUAAGACAGAUGUGAAAUCCCCGGGCUCAACCUGGGAACUGCAUUUGUGACUGUAUAGCUAGAGUACGGCAGAGGGGGAUGGAAUUCCGCGUGUAGCAGUGAAAUGCGUAGAUAUGCGGAGGAACACCGAUGGCGAAGGCAAUCCCCUGGGCCUGUACUGACGCUCAUGCACGAAAGCGUGGGGAGCAAACAGGAUUAGAGACCCCAGUAGUCCCUGUCUCUUAUAC
This 301-nucleotide ribosomal RNA is filed under the name uncultured bacterium. RNAcentral's name for it is "partial 16S ribosomal RNA". It matches the Rfam family "Bacterial small subunit ribosomal RNA", at positions 509 to 807 of the family's 1533-position model. The record is from RNAcentral.